CAGUAGCCGCGGGAAAACGAAGGGGGCUAGCGUUGCUCGGAAUGACUGGGCGUAAAGGGCGCGUAGGCGGCGAUCAAAGUCAGGCGUGAAAUUCCUGGGCUCAACCUGGGGGCUGCGUUUGAUACUUGAUUGCUAGAGUGGGGAAGAGGGUCGUGGAAUUCCCAGUGUAGAGGUGAAAUUCGUAGAUAUUGGGAAGAACACCGGUGGCGAAGGCGGCGACCUGGUCCUUGACUGACGCUGAGGCGCGAAAGCGUGGGGAGCAAACAGGAUUAGAUACCCCCGUAGUCCCUGUCUCUUAUAC
Molecule: ribosomal RNA, 301 nt
Filed under: uncultured bacterium
Lineage: Bacteria
Description: partial 16S ribosomal RNA
Rfam family: Bacterial small subunit ribosomal RNA
Source: RNAcentral